GAGCGCAACCCUUAUCUUUAGUUACCAUCAUUAAGUUGGGGACUCUAAAGAUACUGCCCCGGUUAACGGGGAGGAAGGUGGGGAUGACGUCAAGUCCUCAUGGCCUUUAUGUCCAGGGCUACACACGUGCUACAAUGGGUUGUACAAAGGGUUGCGAACUCGCGAGAGUAAGCCAAUCCCAAAAAGCAACUCUUAGUUCGGAUUGGAGUCUGCAACUCGACUCCAUGAAGCUGGAAUCGCUAGUAAUCGUGGAUCAGCAUGCCACGGUGAAUACGUUCCCGGGCCUU
This 287-nucleotide ribosomal RNA is filed under the name uncultured Desulfobacteraceae bacterium. Its description in RNAcentral is "partial 16S ribosomal RNA". It matches the Rfam family "Bacterial small subunit ribosomal RNA", at positions 1094 to 1382 of the family's 1533-position model. Lineage: Bacteria; Pseudomonadati; Thermodesulfobacteriota; Desulfobacteria; Desulfobacterales; Desulfobacteraceae. The record is from RNAcentral.